AAUAUUGCAUGUAUUCAGCCAUUCGUCCCCGUGUUAUGACUCUAUUGCCCACGGCGAGAAGAGAACGGAGAAUGUGGGGCAGUUCUGUAUUUCAUAAAGGUUGCUGUCAUGAUGAGUAUGCUUAAGGAUGACGAAUAUUUUAAAAUGGGCUUUCCACUAUUGUACUGAAUACAAGCAUACACAAGGGGACGCCAUAUGCAUAAAGAUCAGGAGGGACACAGUGCUCAGUGUCUACACAUUUUUGCAACUAAGGAAACCACAUAAAUACGCAUACUCAAGCAAACUAAGCUCAACUGCAUCAUUGUAUUGAGUGUGGUGACAAUAAAUGGGUUAUUCCCAAACCCCAUCAGUUCUAUAUUGAAGUCUCUAACCGGACACCCCGGGUCUGUUAUCCACCGGCAUAUAAAACAUAAAUGGUAUAGAACCGUUUUUUCAUAAGCAGCUAUACUUUUUUUGCUGGUUGUGCCACCAUUAGCAGCAACAACUGCAACCAAACGCUUCCGAUAACUGGGGAUCAGUCUUUCACAACGCUGUGAUGGAAUUUUGGCCCACUCUUCUUUGCAUAACUGCUUUAGUUCAGCCACAUUGGAGGGUUUUCGAGCAUGAACUGCCCAUUUAAGGUCCUGCCACAGCAUCUCAAUUGGGUUCAAGUCAGGACUUUGACUAGGCCACUCCAAAACUUUAAUUUAGCUUCUUUUGAGCCAUUCAGAGGUGGACUUACUCCUAUGCUUUGGCUCAUUGUCUUGCUGCAUAAUCCAGUUGAGUUUGAGCUUCAGCUCAUGGACUGAUGACGAGACGUUGUCCUUUAGGAUUUUCUGGUAGAGAAAAUGAGGAAUAUUUCCCUCAAUUAUUGCAAGUCACCCUGGCCCUGAAGCAGCAAUGCCACAUCAUCACACUACCAUCACCAUGCUUGACAGUAGGUAUGAUGUUCUUUUUUGUGGAAUUCUGUGAUUGAUUUACACCAGAUGUAAUGGGACCCCUGUCUUCCAAACAUUUCCUCUUUUGACUCAUCAGUCCACAGAACAUUCUCCCAAAAGGUUUGAGGAUCAUCAAGGUAUGUUUUGGCAAAAUUCAGACAAGAUUAAUGUUCUUCUGGGUUAGCAGUGGUUUUUGCCUCGCCACUCUUCCAUGGAUGGCAUUUUUGGCCAGUGCCUUUCUGAUAGUGGAGUCAUGAACAGCGACCUUUAUUGAUGCGAGAGAGGCCUGCAGAUCCUUGGAUGUUGUCCUAGGCAUUUUUGUGACUUCCAGGAUGAAUUGUCGCUGUGCUCUUGGAAGAAUUUUGGAAGGUCGGCCACUUCUGGGAAGGUUCACUACUGUUCCAGGUUUUCUCCAUUUGGAGAUAAUGGUGGUUCUGUGGAGUCCAGACUGAUGUAUUUCAAUCACCUUUUUCCUCAUCAUUUCUGGAUUUUCUUUCGACCUUGGCAUAGUGUGCUACUGGGUGAGAACUUUUAGCCAACUUCAUGCUGCUAAAAAAGUUCUGUUUAGGUGUUGAUUUGAUUGAACAGGGCUGGCAGUAAUCCGGCCUGGGUGUGUCUAGUCCAGCUGAACCCCAUUAUUAAUGCAGUUUCAUAGAUUUGGGGAUUUCAUAGGAGGGGGCAAAUACUUAUUCACACAGGCCCAGUUGGUAUUGGAUAACUUUUGCUUCAAUAAAUAACAUUAUCACUUAAAAACUGUAUUUUGUGUUUACUCAGAUUGCCUUUAUUUUAUGUUAGAUUUUGUUUGAAUUUUUGAAAAACAUUAGUAUGAGAUCUACACACACAAAAAAAAGAAGAAAUCACAGCACUGUAUUACAAUAAGCUAAUGAGAAUCACUAUUGAGAACAAUGGGAAUUACAAAAAACAUACAGAAAAAGUACAAUAUUGGACACAGUAAUGAGAAUUUAGGAGGAGGGAAAUGUGCUGUGUAUGAAAAUAAUGUCACAAGCAAAAACAAACCUUAUAGGUCCU
Myxocyprinus asiaticus (Chinese sucker) is the source of this 1946-nucleotide long non-coding RNA. RefSeq lists it as uncharacterized. The transcript has 3 exons. Lineage: Eukaryota; Metazoa; Chordata; Actinopteri; Cypriniformes; Catostomidae. The record is from RefSeq and is a predicted model, not a curated record.